CGUAACGCGUAUAGAAUCUGCCUUAUACUGAGGGAUAGCCCAGAGAAAUUUGGAUUAAUACCUCAUAAUACUUCGGAAAGGAAUCUUUCUGAUUUUAAAGCUUCGGCGGUUUGGGAUAGGCAUGCGUUCUAUUAGUUAGUUGGUGAGGUAAUGGCUCACCAAGACCACGAUAGAUAGGGGGCCUGAGAGGGUUAUCCCCCACACUGGUACUGAGACACGGACCAGACUCCUACGGGAGGCAGCAGUGAGGAAUAUUGCACAAUGGACGAAAGUCUGAUGCAGCCAUGCCGCGUGCAGGAUGAAUGCCCUAUGGGUUGUAAACUGCUUUUAUAUAGGAAGAAACUUUUCUACGUGUAGAAAACUGACGGUACUAUAAGAAUAAGGACCGGCUAACUCCGUGCCAGCAGCCGCGGUAAUACGGAGGGUCCAAGCGUUAUCCGGAUUUAUUGGGUUUAAAGGGUCCGUAGGCGGUAUUAUAAGUCAGUGGUGAAAGCCUGCAGCUUAACUGUAGAACUGCCAUUGAAACUGAUUUUCUUGAAUAUAGAUGAAGUGGGCGGAAUGUAUCAUGUAGCGGUGAAAUGCAUAGAUAUGAUACAGAACACCGAUUGCGAAGGCAGCUCACUAAACUAUUAUUGACGCUGAGGCACGAAAGCGUGGGGAGCGAACAGGAUUAGAUACCCUGGUAGUCCACGCCGUAAACUAUGAUCACUCGAUGUUGGCGAUACACAGUCAGUGUCUAAGGGAAACCGAUAAGUAAUCCACCUGGGAAGUACGGUCGCAAGAUUGAAACUCAAAGGAAUUGACGGGGGCCCGCACAAGCGGUGGAGCAUGUGGUUUAAUUCGAUGAUACGCGAGGAACCUUACCUGGGCUUAAAUGUAUUUUGACAGACUGGGAAACCAGUCCUUCUUCGGACAAUUUACAAGGUGCUGCAUGGUUGUCGUCAGCUCGUGCUGUGAGGUGUCGGGUUAAGUCCCAUAACGAGCGCAACCCCUAUCCUUAGUUGCCAGCGAGUAAUGUCGGGGACUCUAAGGAAACUGCCGGUGCAAACCGUGAGGAAGGUGGGGAUGACGUCAAAUCAUCACGGCCCUUACGUCCAGGGCCACACACGUGCUACAAUGGUCAGUACAGAGGGCAGCUACAUGGUGACAUGAUGCGAAUCUCGAAAACUGAUCUCAGUUCGGAUCGAAGUCUGCAACUCGACUUCGUGAAGCUGGAAUCGCUAGUAAUCGCGUAUCAGCAAUGACGCGGUGAAUACGUUCCCGGGCCUUGUACACACCGCCCGUCAAGCCAUGGAAGCUGGGAGUGCCUGAAGUCGGUGACCGCAAGGAGCUGCCUAAGGUAAAACUGGUAACUAGGGCU
RNAcentral lists this ribosomal RNA (1360 nucleotides) under uncultured prokaryote. RNAcentral's name for it is "partial 16S ribosomal RNA". It matches the Rfam family "Bacterial small subunit ribosomal RNA", at positions 109 to 1482 of the family's 1533-position model. The record is from RNAcentral.